RNAcentral lists this ribosomal RNA (440 nucleotides) under uncultured bacterium. Its description in RNAcentral is "bacterial SSU rRNA". It matches the Rfam family "Bacterial small subunit ribosomal RNA", at positions 959 to 1397 of the family's 1533-position model. The record is from RNAcentral.
ACGCGAGGAACCUUACCAGGUCUUGACAUCCCAUUGACCGCUAUGGAGACAUAGCUUUCCCUUUCAGGGACAGUGGUGACAGGUGGUGCAUGGUUGUCGUCAGCUCGUGUCGUGAGAUGUUGGGUUAAGUCCCGCAACGAGCGCAACCCUUGAUCUUAGUUGCCAGCAUUUAGUUGGGCACUCUAAGAUGACUGCCGGUGACAAACCGGAGGAAGGUGGGGAUGACGUCAAAUCAUCAUGCCCCUUAUGACCUGGGCUACACACGUGCUACAAUGGAUGGUACAAAGGGCUGCGAGACUGCGAAGUUAAGCGAAUCCCAUAAAAUCAUUCUCAGUUCGGAUUGCAGGCUGCAACUCGCCUGCAUGAAGCUGGAAUCGCUAGUAAUCGCGGAUCAGCAUGCCGCGGUGAAUACGUUCCCGGGCCUUGCACACACCGCCCGU